GAUGAACGCUGGCGGCGUGCCUAAUACAUGCAAGUCGAGCGAACAGAUGAGGAGCUUGCUCCUCUGACGUUAGCGGCGGACGGGUGAGUAACACGUGGAUAACCUACCUAUAAGACUGGGAUAACUUCGGGAAACCGGAGCUAAUACCGGAUAAUAUAUUGAACCGCAUGGUUCAAUAGUGAAAGACGGUUUUGCUGUCACUUAUAGAUGGAUCCGCGCCGCAUUAGCUAGUUGGUAAGGUAACGGCUUACCAAGGCAACGAUGCGUAGCCGACCUGAGAGGGUGAUCGGCCACACUGGAACUGAGACACGGUCCAGACUCCUACGGGAGGCAGCAGUAGGGAAUCUUCCGCCCUGGGCGCCUGCCUGCCGGAGCCCCGCCGCGUGAGUGAUGAAGGUCUUCGGAUCGUAAAACUCUGUUAUUAGGGAAGAACAAAUGUGUCAGUAACUAUGCCCGUCUUGACGGUACCUCCUCAGAAAGCCACGGCUCCCUCCGUG
Molecule: ribosomal RNA, 497 nt
Filed under: uncultured bacterium
Lineage: Bacteria
Description: partial 16S ribosomal RNA
Rfam family: Bacterial small subunit ribosomal RNA
Source: RNAcentral